GUCCUUUUGAUUAUAAUAUAAGGUCUAACCUGCCCACUGAAAAUUUAAAGGGCCGCAGUAUUUUGACUGUGCAAAGGUAGCAUAAUAAUUAGUUUCUUAAUUAGAAGCUGGUAUGAAUGGUUGAACGAGAAAUUAGCUGUCUCAAUUUAUAAGUUAAAAUUUUAUUUUUAAGUUAAAAAGCUUAAAUUUUUUUAAAAGACGAGAAGACCCUAUAGAGUUUUAUAAUUAUUGAAAUUUUAAUUUUAGUAUUUUUUUUAUUUUAAUAAUUAUUUUAUUGGGGUGAUAUAUAAAUUUAAUUAACUUUAUAUUUUUAAUAACAUAAAUUAAUGAUUUUUUGAUCCAUUAUUAAUGAUUAUAAGAAAAAAUUACCUUAGGGAUAACAGCGUAAUUUUUUUUUAGAGUUCUAAUCGAAAAAAAAGGUUGCGACCUCGAUGUUGGAUUAAAGUUAAUUUUUGGUGUAGAAGCUAUAAAAUUAGGUCUGUUCGACCUUUAAAACUUUACAUGAUCUGAGUUUAGACCGGCGUGAGCCAGGUUGGUUUCUAUCUUUAAAUAUUUUAAAUAUUUUAGUACGAAAGGACCAAGUAUUUUUAAAAUUUAAUUUUUAAUUGAAUA
This 612-nucleotide ribosomal RNA is filed under the name Hydraena subintegra. Its description in RNAcentral is "partial 16S ribosomal RNA". It matches the Rfam family "Bacterial large subunit ribosomal RNA", at positions 1819 to 2766 of the family's 2925-position model. The record is from RNAcentral. Lineage: Eukaryota; Metazoa; Arthropoda; Insecta; Coleoptera; Hydraenidae.